GGUCCCGCCUUUGGAACUCGUGCUGCCGUCCUUCCGGGCCAAGAGCAUUCAAGCUGCACCGACUAAGAGCAAAAAAGAGAUCCCAAAGCCUCUGCGGGUGGACUUGACGGCGGGACGUCAGAGCUACGCGUGACGUUUGCACGUUGACGUGGCUUUUCAGGUGGGAGGGAGUGCCGCUUGACAGCCUGCCCGGGCUCCUAGAGGAAGUUUCAGCCAACACCUAUUGACUCCUACCCUUUACCAAGCACCCUGCUAAGAACUGUAAAGAAGAGGACGCUCUAACAAACAAGAAGUCAACGAUUACAACACAGUGCAAUUAAGUGUUAUGAUAGAGAAAUGCGCCAGGCUGCGCUGGGUCUUCAUUGCGGCAUGCAGGAUCUCUGCAGACUUCUUAGUUGCGGCAUGUGAACUCUGAGUUGCGGCAUGCAUGUGAGAUCUAGUUCCCUGACCAGGGAUCAAACUCGGGCCACCUGCAUUGGGAGCACCCACAGAAC
This is a long non-coding RNA of Balaenoptera acutorostrata (minke whale), 494 nucleotides long. RefSeq lists it as uncharacterized. The transcript is spliced from 3 exons. Lineage: Eukaryota; Metazoa; Chordata; Mammalia; Artiodactyla; Balaenopteridae. The record is from RefSeq and is a predicted model, not a curated record.